GGAGUUUUGGACAAUGGGCGCAAGCCUGAUCUAGCCAUGCCGCGUGAGUGAUGAAGGCCUUAGGGGCGUAAAGCUCUUUCGCCAGAGAUGAUAAUGACAGUAUCUGGUAAAGAAACCCCGGCUAACUCCGUGCCAGCAGCCGCGGUAAUACGGAGGGGGUUAGAGUUGUUCGGAAUUACUGGGCGUAGAGCGCACGUAGGCGGAUCAGAAAGUUGGGGGUGAAAUCCCAGGGCUCAACCCUGGAACGGCCUCCAAAACUCCUGGUCUUGAGUUCGAGAGAGGUGAGUGGAAUUCCGAGUGUAGAGGUGAAAUUCGUAGAUAUUCGGAGGAACACCGGUGGCGAAGGCGGCUCACUGGCUCGAUACUGACGCUGAGGUGCGAAAGUGUGGGGAGCAAA
This 397-nucleotide ribosomal RNA is filed under the name uncultured bacterium. RNAcentral describes it as "bacterial SSU rRNA". It matches the Rfam family "Bacterial small subunit ribosomal RNA", at positions 358 to 772 of the family's 1533-position model. The record is from RNAcentral.